RNAcentral lists this ribosomal RNA (499 nucleotides) under uncultured bacterium. RNAcentral's name for it is "partial 16S ribosomal RNA". It matches the Rfam family "Bacterial small subunit ribosomal RNA", at positions 28 to 507 of the family's 1533-position model. The record is from RNAcentral.
GACGAACGCUGGCGGCGUGCUUAACACAUGCAAGUCGAACGGGCCUGUCUUCUUUUUUGGGGGUGGGUUGAGUGGCGAACGGGUGAGUAUCACGUGAGUAACCUGCCCUUCGGUCCUGGAUAACCGCUUGAAAGGGCGGCUAAUACGGGGUGGUCCGGUUGGUCCGCAUGGGCUGGUCGGGAUAGAUUCACUGUUUUUGGUGUUUCGGCGGGGGAUGGGCUCGCGGCCUAUCAGCUUGUUGGUGGGGUGAUGGCCUACCAAGGCGGUGACGGGUAGCCGGCCUGAGAGGGUGGGCGGCCGCACUGGGACUGAGAUACGGCCCAGACUCCUGCGGGAGGCAGCAGUGGGGGGUAUUGCACAAUGGGCGGAAGCCUGAUGCAGCGACGUCGCGUGAGGGAUGGAGGCCUUCGGGUUGUGAACCUCUGUUUCCGGUGGUGAAGGCCCUGUCCGUGUGGUGGGGUUGACGGUAGCCGGGGAUGAAGCGCCGGCUAACUACGUG